This 342-nucleotide unclassified non-coding RNA is filed under the name soil metagenome. Its description in RNAcentral is "partial contains 5.8S ribosomal RNA, internal transcribed spacer 2, and large subunit ribosomal RNA". The stretch from base 1 to 120 matches the Rfam family "5.8S ribosomal RNA", at positions 35 to 154 of the family's 154-position model. The record is from RNAcentral.
GAUGAAGAACGCAGCGAAACGCGAUAAGUAAUGUGAAUUGCAGAAUCCAGUGAAUCAUCGAAUCUUUGAACGCACAUUGCGCCCGCCAGCAUUCUGGCGGGCAUGCCUGUUCGAGCGUCAUUUCAACCCUCGACCUCCCCUUGGGGAGGUCGGCGUUGGGGACCGGCAGCACACCGCCGGCCCUGAAAUGGAGUGGCGGCCCGUCCGCGGCGACCUCUGCGCAGUAAUACAGCUCGCACCGGGACCCCGACGCGGCCACGCCGUAAAACACCCAACUUCUGAACGUUGACCUCGAAUCAGGUAGGACUACCCGCUGAACUUAAGCAUAUCAAAAGCGGAGGA